RNAcentral lists this long non-coding RNA (736 nucleotides) under Marmota monax (woodchuck). The record is from RNAcentral. Lineage: Eukaryota; Metazoa; Chordata; Mammalia; Rodentia; Sciuridae.
UGAGAACAAAUCACCUCUGAGCAAGCUUAUUUGGCUCAAAAUCCCACUGAAAGUGGGCAGGGUAUUGCCCAGGCUGGCCAGCGUGUGCUACAGCUCUGUACCAAUGACUCCAGGCCCAGCAGCUACAAGACCUCUUUGAAAAUUAGAGCCAAUAGAAGACACAGAAACAUGGGCUUUUUAAACCUGGUGAUAUGAAAAUCUCUACUCCCUUCUGGUGAUAAUAAUCAGGGUUUGCAUUUGAUUUUGUUUGUUUUUUGCUUUGCCUCGAACAACUGCAUUUGGGGUAGAAUGUGCUGGUUGUCUCCCUAAUCCAGAAGUCAUGCAAAAUUAAAGACAAGCUAAACAUUUGGAAACAUUAGAGAUAUGAAUUGUUCGACCGAAGCCUGACAUCCCCAUGGCCAAAGCAUUGGUUCUUGGCUCCUCUUUAUUGUCUGAACAACUCGAAAUUCACCAGACAUUAUUUUGCUCACAAUUAUUUGGACAGCAUUCUCCUUCCAAUUAUUGCUUUGGUGAAUGUUUUACAAAGUUUUUGAAAUAGGAACAAAUUUGAUUUAUGCAUCAGAACAUAACAUCAGCCAGUUGAUUUAAUUACAGGACAGAAAUUCAUACGGGAAUGCUUAAAAGAAAUUUCCACUGUCAGUUUUGAAAAACAAAGUAAAUUCAAAACUUUAAAUCAAAAGAGAUCCAUAGUAAGCUAUGAAAGGCUAUUGUAAGGCCAACAAUAUGUAACUUAUCC